AGAGUUUGAUCCUGGCUCAGGAUGAACGCUAGCGGCAGGCUUAAUACAUGCAAGUCGAGGGGCAGCACGAAUAGCAAUAUUUGGUGGCGACCGGCGCACGGGUGCGUAACACGUAUGCAACCUUCCUUCAACCGGGGAAUAGCUCACCGAAAGGUGAAUUAAUACCCCAUAAUAUUCGAGAGUGGCAUCACUUUCCAAUUAAAGAAUUUCGGUUGAAGAUGGGCAUGCGCAACAUUAGCUAGUUGGUGAGGUAACGGCUCACCAAGGCUACGAUGUUUAGGGGAUCUGAGAGGAUUAACCCCCUCACUGGUACUGAGACACGGACCAGACUCCUACGGGAGGCAGCAGUAAGGAAUAUUGGACAAUGGGCGCAAGCCUGAUCCAGCCAUGCCGCGUGCAGGAUGACGGCCCUAUGGAUUGUAAACUGCUUUUAUGCGGGAAAAAACCCUCGCUCGUGAGCGAGGCUGAUGGUACCGUAAGAAUAAGGAUCGGCUAACUCCGUGUCAGCAGCCGCGGUAAUACGGAGGAUCCAAGCGUUAUCCGGAUUUAUUGGGUUUAAAGGGUGCGUAGGCGGAUUUGUAAGUCAGUGGUGAAAUCCUGCAGCUCAACUGUAGAACUGCCAUUGAUACUGCAAGUCUUGAGUACAUAUGAUGUGGGCGGAAUGUGUAGUGUAGCGGUGAAAUGCUUAGAUAUUACACAGAACACCGAUUGCGAAGGCAGCUCACAAAACUGUAACUGACGCUGAGGCACGAAAGCGUGGGGAGUGAACAGGAUUAGAUACCCUGGUAAUCCACGCCUUAAACGAUGAUUACUCGAUGUGUGCAAUACACCGUACGCGUCCUAGCGAAAGCGUUAAGUAAUCCACCUGGGGAGUACGAUCGCAAGGUUGAAACUCAAAGGAAUUGACGGGGGCCCGCACAAGCGGAGGAGCAUGUGGUUUAAUUCGAUGAUACGCGAGGAACCUUACCUGGGCUUGAAAGUUAGUGACCGGUGGUGAAAGCCACUUUUCCGCAAGGACACGAAACUAGGUGCUGCAUGGCUGUCGUCAGCUCGUGCCGUGAGGUGUUGGGUUAAGUCCCGCAACGAGCGCAACCCCUAUCUUUAGUUGCCAGCGAGUAAUGUCGGGGACUCUAGAGAAACUGCCCGUGCAAACGGUGAGGAAGGUGGGAUGACGUCAAGUCAGCACGGCCCUUACGUCCAGGGCUACACACGUGCUACAAUGGCGAGUACAAAGGGCAGCUACACAGUGAUGUGAUGCUAAUCUCUAAAGCUCGUCUCAGUUCGGAUUGAAGUCUGCAACUCGACUUCAUGAAGCUGGAUUCGCUAGUAAUCGUAGAUCAGCAAUGCUACGGUGAAUACGUUCCCGGGCCUUGUACACACCGCCCGUCAAGCCAUGGAAGUUGGGAGUACCUGAAGUCCAUCACCGCAAGGAGUGGCCUAGGGUAAAACCAAUGACUGGGGCUAAGUCGUAACAAGGUA
Molecule: ribosomal RNA, 1479 nt
Filed under: metagenome
Description: bacterial SSU rRNA
Rfam family: Bacterial small subunit ribosomal RNA
Source: RNAcentral